This 253-nucleotide ribosomal RNA is filed under the name uncultured bacterium. Its description in RNAcentral is "partial 16S ribosomal RNA". It matches the Rfam family "Bacterial small subunit ribosomal RNA", at positions 524 to 776 of the family's 1533-position model. The record is from RNAcentral.
UACGUAGGUGGCAAGCGUUGUCCGGAAUUAUUGGGCGUAAAGCGCGCGCAGGUGGUUUCUUAAGUCUGAUGUGAAAGCCCACGGCUCAACCGUGGAGGGUCAUUGGAAACUGGGGAACUUGAGUGCAGAAGAGGAAAGUGGAAUUCCAAGUGUAGCGGUGAAAUGCGUAGAUAUUUGGAGGAACACCAGUGGCGAAGGCGACUUUCUGGUCUGUAACUGACACUGAGGCGCGAAAGCGUGGGGAGCAAACAGG